Molecule: small nuclear RNA, 179 nt
Filed under: Ophiophagus hannah (king cobra)
Lineage: Eukaryota; Metazoa; Chordata; Lepidosauria; Squamata; Elapidae
Description: 7SK RNA
Rfam family: 7SK RNA
About the family: 7SK was discovered as an abundant small nuclear RNA in the mid-70s but a possible function has only recently been suggested. Two independent studies have found that 7SK RNA binds the CDK9/cyclin T complex (known as elongation factor P-TEFb).
Source: Rfam by way of RNAcentral
GGAUGUGAGGGCGAUCUGGCUGCAACAUCUGCAAUCCAUUGAUAUUGGCUGACAUGGCAGAUCUGGCUGGCUAUGUGUCUCCUUCUUCCCUCACUGCUCCAUGUGUAUCCCUCUUGAAGCUGCUCACUCAGUGAAAGAGGAUGACCAUCCCAGAUAGAAGUAUACCGAUUGUCAGGGUU